AACAGCCGCGGUAAUUCCAGCUCCAAUAGCGUAUAUUAAAGUUGUUGCAGUUAAAAAGCUCGUAGUUGAAUUUCGGGACUAAUAUGUCGGUCGUACUUUGUACGUACUAGCAUUAUUGGUUUCUCCCUUCUGACGAACCACGAUGUCAUUAAUUUGGUGUCAUGGGAAAUCAGGACUGUUACUUUGAAAAAAUUAGAGUGUUUAAAGCAAGCUCGCGCUUGAAUACAUUAGCAUGGAAUAAUGAAAUAGGACGUUUGAUUCUAUUUUGUUGGUUUCUAGGAUCGACGUAAUGAUUAAUAGGGAUAGUUGGGGGCAUUAGUAUUCAAUUGUCAGAGGUGAAAUUCUUGGAUUUAUUGAAGACUAACUACUGCGAAAGCAUUUGCCAAGGAUGUUUUCAUUAAUCAAGAACGAAAGUUAGGGGGAUCGAAGACGAUCAGAUACCGUCGUAGUCUUAACCAUAAACUAUGCCGACUAGGGAUCGGAUGAUGUUAAUUUUUUAAUGACUCAUUCGGCGCCUUAC
This 520-nucleotide ribosomal RNA is filed under the name uncultured Glomus. RNAcentral describes it as "SSU rRNA". It matches the Rfam family "Eukaryotic small subunit ribosomal RNA", at positions 569 to 1091 of the family's 1831-position model. The record is from RNAcentral. Lineage: Eukaryota; Fungi; Glomeromycota; Glomeromycetes; Glomerales; Glomeraceae.